This is a transfer RNA of 73 nucleotides. It matches the Rfam family "tRNA". Rfam says of the family: Transfer RNA (tRNA) molecules are approximately 80 nucleotides in length. Their secondary structure includes four short double-helical elements and three loops (D, anti-codon, and T loops). The record is from Rfam.
GCCGGCGUAGCUCAGUUGGUAGAGCAGCUGAUUUGUAAUCAGCUGGUCGGGGGUUCGAAUCCUCUCGCCGGCU